RNAcentral lists this ribosomal RNA (423 nucleotides) under Modisimus sp. DNA100446376. RNAcentral's name for it is "partial 16S ribosomal RNA". Lineage: Eukaryota; Metazoa; Arthropoda; Arachnida; Araneae; Pholcidae. The record is from RNAcentral.
AUUUUUAAGACGUAAUUUAAAACAAAACCUGCUCAAUGAUAAAUUAAAUAGCUGCAGAUUUCUGUACUAAGGUAGCAUAAUAAUUAGCCUUUUAAUUAAAGGAUAGAAUGAAUGGUUAAACGAGAUAUAAACUGUAUCUUACACUAUAGUAAACUUAUAAUUUAAAGUAAAAAUACCUUAACUAAUAAGAAAGACAACAAGACCCUAAUAAACUUAAAAAUUCGGCUGGGGAGGCAAUAAAAAAAAACCUUAAUAAAAAAUAACACAUAACUUUUAUAAAAAAUAUUAGUUACUAUAGGGAUAACAGCGCAACUUUAGUUUAAAGCUCACAUAAAAACUAAACCCUACGACCUCGAUGUUGAAUUAAUUUAACUGUUUAAAGCAAUAUUUAAAAAAGAUAGUCUGUUCGACUAAUAAUAAAUU